GCCAACCUCUUACACAUGAAAAACUAUCCGAGAAUUUUGUUAGCAUUCUGUUUAUAAAUUACACAACCCUAGAAAGUGUGAAAAAUGGCUAAUAUUUCCUUCUAAUUUUGCUUUUCUUAUAAUAUUUAUUCAAACUCCAAAGAAUCUCUCUCUGAACACAUGGCUAUGAUACUCCUCAACUACUCCUGUUCAUGAUUAGAGAUGUACACAUUGGUAUCCACUAAGGGACAUGUUCAAGUGGUUAAGGACAAACAACUGACAAGCAAAUCUGUGAUAUUGAGCAGAAUAUUUGCUAUAAUGAUAUUUCUGCUCCAGUAACUCAAUACUGAAAUGUAAUGGAAAAUAGGUGAGUUUCAAAACAUUGAUGUUCAGGUGACAAAAGCAAAGUUUGAAAGGAAUAGUAGUCAUUUCCUUUGAUUUCUAGAUAGAAGCAAAUAGGAAAUAAUACUGACCAAAGUAAAAAAAAAAUUGUUUCAGUGUUAUCUGUGUGCUUUGUGCUUUCUAAGACACAUAAUAAACAAUGCCUUUUUUAAAAAUUGGAAAGACUUAGCAACUUUAAGGCCAUUCUAUUGUAAAACAAUGCUUCAAUAAUGUACACUAGCAUGGAAAAACACAGAGCCGUAGGUAUAAUGAAAAACAGAUGUAAAGCCAUAUAUGUGUGUGUAUACAUAUCAUGUACAUAUUUAGAAAUGUACAAUUGUAUAUGUAUAUAUACACACAUGUACAUCUCUGCAUAUGUAUGUGCAUGUGAUAUACAAGUAUCUUGGACAGGAUAAGAAUGUCAGCUAUAACGAGAGUGUAAGGAAUGAAUAUCUCAAGAGAGUUAAAAGAAUAUGAUCGUCUGAACUCUCAUCUUACAAUAAGCAUAUUACCUACAUCACCUUUGUAAUAUCACCCCCAUUUGGUCCUCUAAACUAGUCACUGUGAAGGCCCAGUGAGAUAAACAUGAAUUUGCAAGCUGCUCAGUCUCACUGGAAAGUUCAACAUCAGUAGUAAUGUAGACAGGCUAUACUUCCCCAACAAGGGUGGUGGCUGUUGGUCUUUAAUCUGUAGUGAUAGCGUAUGAACCAGAUAUUGUGAUACUGAAGCAAUAUCGGUGGUAGAGAAGGUAGUACUUGGCAUGAAAUACCCAAACCAUAAAGGGAAUUAAAUUACAUCAAAAGCUUGACAUGGAAUAUCAAUUUUAUGACAUCCCGUUUUGAAGGCUGUCUCUAUGCAUUUCAAGAGCAAGAGAUCCCUACAAAGUAUUUAGUACAUGAAAGGCAGAAAACAUUGAUAGACAACAAAUGUAGGCUGUGCAAAAUGAAAUCUGAAGAUAUCAACCACCCUGUUGCUGACUUACAGAAUGUCUCAUAGAUAUUAUCUUCUCAAGAGGCAUUAUGUGGUCACCAGAAUAGAAUGAGAAGAAACAAAAAUCACCACUUCUGAAGUGUACUUGAAUUAUUUAAUUUCAAAAUUUCCUGAUAAAAUUUGAUGAAAGUUUUCCCAGAACUAGUUUUAAAUAAGGAAAUGUGUUUAUUACUGUGUGUGUAUAUAUAUAUAUAUAUAUAUAUAUAGUGAUCACGUGUGUGUGUGUGUUUUUUACAUUUGCAGAUACUCAUGUUUGGAACAGCUGAAGAGCAAAUUGUCUCAAUUUAGAGUUACUUCCCUUCCCAGUUAAGACACUAUUUGGUAACCUUUUGUUGAGUCACUGGAAUUUUCAGAUUGUACGUAUCCUAUUAUUAAAGGACUAGCUAUUUCUAACAUGACUAGGGUUAUUUCAAGAAAUAAUCCUUUAGAGAUUAAUUUUUAUAUUCACUAUUUCCUGGAUCUGGUACAGGAAGGAAAAUAUUUUUACCUUUGAUCUGUUGCCUUUUCUUUUAGUAAUCGUUACUAUGUUCCACAAAUGGACAUUAAAACGAUGUUGAUUACAAAUUUUUGUCAGCAAUUUUAGUAUUGGGUCUAUUUAUUGUAAUUGUAAUAAUGAAUUAUAAGAUUGUUUUAAGUAACAUUUUCAAUGGCUUGUUGAGGUAUUCACAGUAUCAUCUUAGGGCAAGGGCACACAGAGCAGUUAACCAGUGGCCUCACAAGUGUAGGGGACCAAUCUACGUAUGUUGUGGCUUAUCCUUUACUUAUUUCAGUCAUUAGGCUGUGGCCUUGCUGGAGCACUACCUUGUAGAGUUUUUAGCUAAACAAAUCAAUUUCAGUAUUUUUUUAAAGCUUGGUCUCUGCCUAACCACUAAGUUAUGGGAAUGUAAGCAAACACUGCUUGUCAAGCAGUGGUGGUGGACAAACACAAACUGAAAGACACACACACAGGGUGGUCCGAAAGUCUUGUCACCACCUGUAAAUAUUGUUUCAAUUUUUUAUUAUCAAGGAGAGGGCUUCACAAGAGCGAUACCAGAAUAUCCAACAGUUGAAGGACGCUGUUUCGGCAGCCUUUGCACCAAUCAACAAAGCACAGCUUCAUAGAAUAUCACACAGGACAUGGUGCCACAUUGUUUUGUGCCACAAAAAUGAUGGUGUUCAUACAAACCUUCUCGAUGUAUGACAGUGUCAGUGUCAAAACCAGUACAUGUGUUUGAUAUUAUAUUAGUCCUCUAUUGUUCUUAUUACUUUUCGGUCGGGAGUGACAAGACUUUCAGACCACCCUAUAUAUAUAUAUAUAUAUAUAUAUAUAUAUAUAUAUAUAUAUCAUCAUCAUCAUUUUAUCUGUCUUUAUGUUCUGAAUUCAAAUUCUGCUGAGGUCAACUUUGCCUUUCAUCCUUUUGAGGCUGAUAAAUACCACUUGAAUACUGGGGCUGAUGUAACUGACUUAGCCCCUUCCCUGAGGCCUUGUGCCAAAACUCGAAACCAAUAUUAAUAGAUACUGAGUAGAACAGAACAAACUAUCAGUGGUCAAGGUCAACCAGUUCAGUUAGUGAAUUACUACUAUCAUGUGUAGUCAUGGUAUGUGCAGCUAAGAUAUUUUAGCUUGUGAAAGACCAAAGUCCAAGCCAAAUGUUCAUGCUUUAUUACUUGAUAGGGACGUCUGGCAUGGAAGAGAUGCAUUGGUCUGAGUGAGUCAGUCAUCUGAUCUGGGUGGAUGGAUUUCCAUGCUUGGAUCAGUCCGAUGGAAUUUCCUUGCAGCAGAUUUUCUACAGUCAAAUGCCCUUCCUGUCACCAGUCCUACACUUGUUCUAAAGCAUGAUAUUGUUUUCCCAUGACUGGACUUGUUUUCAUAGAAAACUGGAAACAAAUGGCACCACUUGCAUUGUAUGACAGUAACACUCACUAGUAUUAAGUGACGUCUAGACAAGUAGGCACACACAGACACACAUAUGUGUAUAUAUAUAUAUAAUAUAUAUAUAUAUAUAAUUCUUUUGUCUUUUAAAAUUUCUCUGUCAUUUGAACUCUUUGCAAAUUAGACCUACUUAUAUAAAUAUAUAUAUUUAUACAUAUAAAUUCAACGGGCAGCAUGUGCAGCAUCAGUGCCAUGCAAGCAUAAAAAAACACCCAAUAGUGCAAUUUGGAAGACUGCAGCAGUCCGACUUGCCAGAAAAGAAUGCUGUAAUGCUGAACAGGAAUACAAAUUGCACAAAUCAGAAGGCAACAGGAAAAAGCGCAAUAGAUCAGCCAACCACCUCAAGCAGGUGACAAAAAAGGCAGUGCUUGAAUUUGAACAACGCAUUGCAACUAACCCUGACAGCAAAGUGUUCUGGAAGUAUGUGCACUCAAAGCAAAGACCCCACUCUCCAGUUGGUCCCCUUCGCAAUCCCCACACAGGACAGAUUACUGGCAAUCCCGAAGAAUGUGCAGAAAUCAUUGCUGGAUGCUAUGCCGGCAUCUUUACUGUCGAAGACCAAAAUGUUCCAUCUUCACCACCACUGACAUCGGACUUUAUAUCUACUAGGCAAUUUACACCAGCAAUGCUACAACGCCACCUUAAGAAUAAACGCAACUAUGCCUCUCCUGGUCUCGAUGGUGUUACAUACCUACUUCUCAAACGUGGUGGGUACUUUCUUCUAAGCCAACUUUCUCUAUUCUUCCAAUUCUGUCUUGACAAUGGUGUUACUCCAGAACAGUGGAAAACUGCCAGUGUUAUCCCUCUGUUCAAAAAAGGCGACCGCACAUCGCCUGUCAACUAUCGCCCCGUUAGUCUUACUAGCUGUAUCGCCAAACUGAUGGAAUCCUGUAUCAGAGAAACCCUCUGGAACUUCUGGAAGUCUCACAGCCUCAUCCAGCUGUCACAAUUUGGAUUUAUUCCUAACUCCAGCUGCUAUAAUCAACUCAUCGAGUUUCUUGAGGACGUUACCCAAAUCACUGAUCGCGGAUCCUGGGUGGAUGUUGUUUACCUGGACUUUGCUAAGGCUUUUAACUCUGUGCCACACAAAAGACUUAUGGUGAAGCUCUCUGCAUUGGGUGUAAGAGACGAACUCUAUAACUGGUUGAAGUCCUUUAUUUUCGGCCGAAAAGAGGUUGUCACAGUUCAAGGACAGCACCCUUCACCCUAUGAGAUGACAUCUGGUGUACCACAGGGAUCUGUUCUUGGCCCCCUUUUAUUUGUUGCAUAUGUUAAUGACAUAGAUGCUAACUUAAAGAAUGCCAUAGUGCUGAAAUAUGUACAUCAAGCUGUACCUCGAAAUAAAGAGGUCAGACUCUGUACACUAUAGAUCUCUAUUGCAAGCAGACCUGGACACAAUGCAGCAGUGGAUCAUGGACUGGCAACUCAAGCUGGCUGUGGACAAAUGUACCACUAUGCAUUUUGGGAGGAGAAACCCCGCGUCCACCUACUCCCUCCACAACACUAGUCUCAAAAAGUCUUCAAUUGAACGUGACCUGGGUGUUAUUGUCGACAGUGAUUUGCGUUGGACAAAACACAUCGCUAAAAUUGUCAAGAAGGCUGAGGGUGUCUUAACAUCACUCACCAAAUCCUUUGUGAGCCGCUCUCCGACUAUCUAUCUGUGGCUUUAUAUAGCUAUGGUAAGACCUCACCUGGAAUUUGCAUCACCGGUCUGGAACCCCUAUCUUGCCCAGGAUAUCAAUCGUCUGGAAGCCGUUCAGCGACGUGCAACCAAAAGAAUACCCUCCAUCAGGCAUUUGCCAUAUUCUGAACGCCUUACUUCCCUAGGCAUGGACACAUUGAAACUCCGACAUGUGGCAGCUGACUUGGCAGACACCCAUAAAAUUAUCAACCAUCGUACAAACAAUAACUCUGAGCACCUUUUCAAACUCCACCCAUCUAACACCCGUGGACAUAUUUACAAAGUCAGAAAACAGCACAGCUCCCAUGACUUUAGGAAACAUUUUUUCACGCUGAGAGUUGCUGAAGCAUGGAACAAACUGCUGGCAUCAGAUGUUAGUUGUCGGAGCACUGCAUCCUUCAAAACUUCCAUGCUUCCUGAGAUUCGCCAACACUACACCUGAUUUUCUCCCCUCCAUACACACACAAGCAUUAUCUGACUCAUGCAUUGUUCACUUUCCAGACAUUUGUACAUUGCUGCAUAUGCUUUAUAUGCACUGUCUGACAAGUUGUGGUGCACCUAAGCACUGUAUACAAUAAUUUCAUUAUAUUAUAUUAUAUCAUUAACAUUCAUCUCAAAAUUUCCACCUUUUCCUUUCUCUCAUUUUGCAUGUAUACAUAUGUACAUAUUUUGUAUUUGAUGUACUUGGUAUCUAUAAUACAUUAAAAAUUAACUUCAUUCUUGUUUGCUUGCAGUGUUAUACAGCCAAACUGGUGCAUAAUGAGAAAAUGCCAUGAAUACUACAAAUGGAAUAAAACAAGUUUCUCGUAAAUCAGACAAGUGGUUCUUGAGAUAUUAGGGGUUUUGGGAUAUAAAUACUCAAAACAAUGCAUAAUGGGAAAAUACUAUGAUAAUAACUUAACCCUGAAAAGGAAGAAACUCUAACUUUCAAUUAGGCACAUUAGGGACUAAGUUGCCAAUGAAAAAAUAUGAGCUACUUUUCACAGUAAAUGUUUCUAUCUUCACUUUGUUAAACACAAUAUUUUAAUCAUUUGUAAAAUAUUUUUAACUGAAUGUGAUUUCCAAAAUGUAAGUUGUUUGUAC
This 6026-nucleotide long non-coding RNA is filed under the name Octopus vulgaris (common octopus). Lineage: Eukaryota; Metazoa; Mollusca; Cephalopoda; Octopoda; Octopodidae. The record is from RNAcentral.